This 467-nucleotide ribosomal RNA is filed under the name uncultured bacterium. RNAcentral describes it as "partial 16S ribosomal RNA". It matches the Rfam family "Bacterial small subunit ribosomal RNA", at positions 28 to 506 of the family's 1533-position model. The record is from RNAcentral.
GACGAACGCUGGCGGCGUGCUUAACACAUGCAAGUCGAACGGAAAGGCCCUGCUUUUGUGGGGUGCUCGAGUGGCGAACGGGUGAGUAACACGUGAGUAACCUGCCCUUGACUUUGGGAUAACUUCAGGAAACUGGGGCUAAUACCGGAUAGGAGCUCCUGCUGCAUGGUGGGGGUUGGAAAGUUUCGGCGGUUGGGGAUGGACUCGCGGCUUAUCAGCUUGUUGGUGGGGUAGUGGCUUACCAAGGCUUUGACGGGUAGCCGGCCUGAGAGGGCGACCGGCCACAUUGGGACUGAGAUACGGCCCAGACUCCUACGGGAGGCAGCAGUGGGGAAUAUUGCACAAUGGGCGGAAGCCUGAUGCAGCAACGCCGCGUGCGGGAUGACGGCCUUCGGGUUGUAAACCGCUUUCGCCUGUGACAAAGCGUGAGUGACGGUAAUGGGUAAAGAAGCACCGGCUAACUACGU